Xenia sp. Carnegie-2017 is the source of this 578-nucleotide long non-coding RNA. RefSeq lists it as uncharacterized. Lineage: Eukaryota; Metazoa; Cnidaria; Anthozoa; Malacalcyonacea; Xeniidae. The record is from RefSeq and is a predicted model, not a curated record. The transcript is spliced from 3 exons.
ACUCCAAACUCCCACGCAGUUUCAUUGUGGCCAAGCGAAACUUAGUUACUUGAACGGUUGAACUUACUUACUAUAUAUUAUGUGUAUAUUACAUUUAGUUUUAGACUGUAUACUGUAUGUUAUCUGAUUAAUGAUAUCCAUAAAAAAUCGUUCAUUAGAUAAUCCAGGUAAUUUAACGACGGUAAAAAAAUCAAAAAACGAGGUGCCGUGACCAGGAUUCGAACCUGGGUUAUUGCGGCCACAACGCAAUGUACUAACCACUAUACGAUCACGGCUCUUGAUAUCUGUCGUAGAAAUAAAUAUAUAAAACUGUGUUUAUUAACCAAAAAUAACUUCUUUCAAAAUGUGAAGAAAUUGCUAUAUGGUAAUGAUGAAGUUCUUCGACUGACUGAACACUCUGAUCAGUCACGUACAACUUUACAAAAUGUUGAAGACGGGAAAUGGAGGAUAAGAGAAAUCCAAAUGGAACAAAAUUGCUGUCUGUUGUGGACCGAUUAUCUUGUCACAGUCAUAUUGAAUCUUCGAAAACUGAUAUUCCACAAACUGCCAGCACUUUGUACUGUAGCUCAAGAAAUGAA